CCCCCAAGACACCCUGCUGUUCUCCCAUUGGAUGAACACGGCCAGGAGGCGUGGCGAGGCCCCCAAGACACCCUGCCGCUCCCCCCAUUGGACAACCAGGACACACACGCACACGCACGCAGGGGGGUGGGAGUAGCAGGGGGGGCUAUUCGGGCGUUGCUGGCUGGUCCCGGUGGAAUAGUCGUCCCUGGUCCCUGCUUGCUCACUCAGUCCUUUUGUGUGUGUCUCCCUCUCCCCUCUCCCCUCUCCCCUCUCCCCCCCUCUUCUCCCUCUCCCCUUCCUCUUCUCCUCCCCCUCCCCCCUCUCAUUAUCUUUACUUAUUGGAUAGAGACAGCCAGAAAUCAAGAGGGAAGGGGGAAAUAAAGAGGGAGAGAGACAGAGACUCCUACAGCCCUGUUUCAUCACUCCUGAAGCUUUCCUCCUGCAGAUUACAACAGCACCAUCACCUGCCACAGCACCAGCAACAGCAGCAGGUGUUGGUAGCCUGUCUCCUCUCAAUGGUACAUGGAGGUAUCCAGAAGAUGAGCAAACCUCAGGCAUCAGGUAAACAGCCUAGGAGAGAGCUCACCCAGUAGAAUGCACACUUUGCCAUGCAUGAGGACUUGGAUUUAAGACCCCAACCAGCACAUGGUGCACCAAAUUAAGGGAAGCUUCAUGAUCAGUGAAGCAGGGCUGUAAUGCCUCUCCCCCCUGCCUGCCUCUCUCUACCAGAAGCAGUGGAAUCAUGCCACAUGGAGCUUGGUGAUAACCUUGGUGAGCUUUAGUUGAAUCUCCCAGGAGACUUAGCCAUAGAUGGGUGUGUGGCCUGGGAAAGACACUUACCAUUCAGAUAAGAUGAAUUUCCCAUCUCUGAGGCUUGGCAGCUUCC
Erinaceus europaeus (western European hedgehog) is the source of this 868-nucleotide long non-coding RNA. RefSeq lists it as uncharacterized. The record is from RefSeq and is a predicted model, not a curated record. NCBI's taxonomy places the organism in Eukaryota, Metazoa, Chordata, Mammalia, Eulipotyphla, Erinaceidae. The transcript has 3 exons.